UUUCGCAAUGCCCGAAAGGGUGACGAAGCGACGCCGCGUGCGGGAAGAAGGCCCUCGGGUUGUAAACCGCUGUCGGGAGUUAAGAAAUGCAAGGGUGUUAACAGCGUCCUUGCUUGACUAAGGCUCCGGAGGAAGCCACGGCUAACUCUGUGCCAGCAGCCGCGGUAAUACAGAGGCGGCAAGCGUUGUUCGGAAUUAUUGGGCGUAAAGAGCACGUAGGCGGCUGUGUAAGUCGGUUGUGAAAGCCUUCCGCUCAACGGAAGAAGCGCAUCCGAUACUGCAUGGCUCGAGUGCGGGAGGGGAGAGUGGAACUUCUGGUGGAGCGGUGAAAUGCGUAGAUAUCAGAAGGAACACCGGCGGCGAAGGCGACUCUCUGGUCCGUAACUGACGCUGAGUGUGCGAAAGCUAGGGGAGCAAACGGGAUUAGAUACCCCGGUAGUCCUAGCCGUAAACGAUGGGCACUAAGUAGAGGGGUUUU
This 478-nucleotide ribosomal RNA is filed under the name uncultured anaerobic ammonium-oxidizing bacterium. RNAcentral describes it as "bacterial SSU rRNA". It matches the Rfam family "Bacterial small subunit ribosomal RNA", at positions 364 to 832 of the family's 1533-position model. The record is from RNAcentral.